UACGGGGGGGGCAAGCGUUGUUCGGAAUUACUGGGCGUAAAGGGCUCGUAGGUGGCCAACUAAGUCAGACGUGAAAUCCCUCGGCUUAACCGGGGAACUGCGUCUGAUACUGGAUGGCUUGAGUUCGGGAGAGGGAUGCGGAAUUCCAGGUGUAGCGGUGAAAUGCGUAGAUAUCUGGAGGAAGACCAGUGGCGAAGGCGGGUCUCUGGACAGUUCCUGACGCUGAGGCACGAAGGCCAGGGGAGCAAACGGG
Molecule: ribosomal RNA, 253 nt
Filed under: uncultured bacterium
Lineage: Bacteria
Description: partial 16S ribosomal RNA
Rfam family: Bacterial small subunit ribosomal RNA
Source: RNAcentral